Stegodyphus dumicola is the source of this 371-nucleotide long non-coding RNA. The record is from RefSeq and is a predicted model, not a curated record. NCBI's taxonomy places the organism in Eukaryota, Metazoa, Arthropoda, Arachnida, Araneae, Eresidae.
AACAGACUUAAACAAAAUGUUUGGAACGAGUUUCGAAAUGGGAUAUGUUGGAACCGAAUGUUAUUAUUAAUUCUGUCGUGUAAUUAAAGUUUCAUGAAGUAUCUGAAAAUGUAUUUAACGUGAAUAUGGAUGGAAUGAAAAAUGAAGGCUUAGAAAUGGAUUUCAAAAAUUUGAUUUCAUGCAUAGAAUGCCAUUCAGAUUCAAGAAAUGUCAGUAUAAUUCUUGAAACCUUGCAAACAAUUAUUAAAAUUUGUGAAAAUCAGGUUUUUCAGGACAUCAUUGGAAAAAUUCAGUGGGUUUACUUUCUACACUUGCAUGUUUUAUUUCUAACCCUUGUCAGAAUUUGAACUAAGAGCCUCCUUACUACUAGC